This 251-nucleotide ribosomal RNA is filed under the name uncultured Hydrogenophaga sp. Its description in RNAcentral is "partial 16S ribosomal RNA". It matches the Rfam family "Bacterial small subunit ribosomal RNA", at positions 1130 to 1382 of the family's 1533-position model. The record is from RNAcentral. Lineage: Bacteria; Pseudomonadati; Pseudomonadota; Betaproteobacteria; Burkholderiales; Comamonadaceae.
AAAGGGCACUCUGAUGGGACUGCCGGUGGACAAACCGGAGGAAGGUGGGGAUGACGUCAAGUCCUCAUGGCCCUUAUAGGUGGGGCUACACACGUCAUACAAUGGCCGGUACAAAGGGCAGCAACCGCAGGGGGAGCCAAUCCCAUAAAGCCGGUCGUAGUCCGGAUCGCAGUCUGCAACUCGACUGCGUGAAGUCGGAAUCGCUAGUAAUCGUGGAUCAGCAUGUCACGGUGAAUACGUUCCCGGGUCUU